This is a long non-coding RNA of Gadus morhua (Atlantic cod), 2365 nucleotides long. NCBI's taxonomy places the organism in Eukaryota, Metazoa, Chordata, Actinopteri, Gadiformes, Gadidae. The record is from Ensembl.
UACCUGCCAUUCAAAUAGCCUAUUCACCCCUCUUAUACAGGAGCCUAGAGCUGAAGACUAUCGUCGUCGUUACCAUCGUCCCCCGUAACCAACAGUUAAGAGGCACCAAGGAAUGAAUACCUGCCAUUCAAAUUGCCUAUUCCUCCAAUGCCUCCCAAUGCUUCCUCUUGAUUCACCAAUCUGAUUCAAAACUAGAACAAACCAAACUCCCAUAAGAUAUUCAAGUAAUUUCAAAUAACACAAUAGGGGAUUAUCACGCUUCCUGGUUCCGGUGGCGGGAUUUGUCUUCGUUGUGCAUGAACACUUCCGGCGCACUUCCACCAUGGCUGAAACAAAGGCGAGAUGUCACUGCUCUCUGUUCCACUUUGUACAUCUAACAAACAACACCAACCCUACUUAAGUUUUCAUGGAUUCCCGACUGAAAUGAGUCCAAGGAAGAAGUGGAUUCAAGCGGUUCGCCGGGAUGAAGGGCCAAACUUUAAAAUAAAACAAGGUAGCAUGUUUGUUUGUAGCCGGCACUUUAGUGAAUCAGACUACAAACGCUACAGCUAGCAACCAACCGGGGUCACACCAAGUGACUGAAAAUCGGGUCUUUACCCUCCCGUUUCCAGUGGAACAACUGGGAACUGCCAAGAAGGGGGUCUGUUUAUAAAAGAGCAUCAACUCGCUUAGGCCAUGACGUUCACCCAUCCCUUCCUCUGGAGCAACCGCUGCCCUGUGAAUAAGAGCCGAUGGAGGAGAUCUCAGCUUCGGUGGUGAUGACAGAACAUGAUUUCGGUUCUGCUCCUAAACCAGAGCUGACUGAACGAAGUGGACUGCUGGAUUUACUGGAGCCAGGAGAUGGCUGCAUGGCAGACAAGGGUUUCACCAUCGAGAAGCCACUAGCUGAUCGUGGGGCAACGCUGAUUAUACCACCCUUCAAGAUGACAGGUAGGCAUGAAAGGAAUGAACAUUUCAAAUUAAAACUUUGACCCAAAUGUGACCAUUAAGAUAUGCAGACAAAUGUUUAAGAUGGACUGAAGCACUCACAAUAAUAUUACUAAUUAAUUUAUCUCUAACCACUGCGCAGUUCACUGAAGAGGAUGCUCUGAAAACACAAGCAAUCGCUCGACUUCGAAUCCUCGUAGAAAGAGCAAUAGGCAGAGUCAAGGAAUACCGCAUCUGGGAACGCACUGUCCUUUCACCUUGUCUGCGACAGUCAAUCAGCUGUGGACCGUCUGCUGUGUGAUGACCAACUUCCAGGGACCACUUGAUUUAAAAGGCUACAUCCCUGUUGAAUAGUGUUUCUACUCAAACAUGUACCUAUAAAUAUUAAAUAUAAUAUAUAAAUAUUAAAACGAGAGGCACUGAACAUUUGGAGUGGUCCCUUCAUUUUUUCCGGAGCUGUAAUUUUGUACACUGAAAACAUUGUAUAUAUUGAAUGACAUGUAAUGUAAUUGAAUGAGAAGUCUUUCAUCUAUAAUCAAUUUUAAAGUCCAGUCAGUCCAUCCUGAAAGUAUUCAAAAUAAGGUUAAUAUAUAAUGUAGUAAAUGAUGUACUCAGAAAAAGAGAAUGAAUUAAAUCCUUUUAUUCUUUCAGUUCCUUUAUUCAUUCAGUUCAUUUCACAUUCAUUUCACUUUCUGCUGAAGAUACACAUUCAUAUAUGUACCAAAGAAGUACCAGUCUACCUUAUUUUUCAUCUCUUAUCCUUUCAUCCCUCCAGACUGAGCUGACGCCAAACCGACGUUAGCAUAAGCCAACCUACCUAGCGUAAGCUAGCUAGCAGACACUCGCAUUAGUAGUCGUUAUAUUUCUCGAAAAAUAAACAAUCCCUUGUCCAGUUUGGAGCGGGCUGUUAUGGAGUGUUGUUCGGUAAGUCUGUGAACUUCAGAAAACGUGACUUUGGGUACAUUUACCAGGGAUGUCGUGAAAGUGAACUGCCGGUCCUCCAUCAUCAGUUCGCCAGAGUGAUGAGUGGUUCACCGGAUGUCACAGUGCACAAUGAACACCGAAUGCGGAAGUACUACGUAUCAGCGUGAUAAUCCCCUAUAACUUAGACCUCACCCGCAGAGGGAGUGAAAAAAUAACGCCAGACCCAGAGCUUUACAGUGUCAAUAUACACGUUACAAAAUGAGACCCAUUCUACUGACUCAGUGGGACAGAUUGCACCAUCCGGAGAUUUCACAUCAAAGAUGUGAGGAUGAGAAUGUGCUGCUAAUGGCUGCGGCUGCCCACUGUGAACCUUGCACGUAGUAAGUUGGUGUGACAGUGAUGAGUUUGUUUUGUAGUUCUGGCUUGGACACUGCACAGUGUCGAACAGCUCACGAGAGAUGUACUCCUCCGGCACCUGAUAGGUUAGGGUUAGGUAAAUUAAAAUAUCUCAUGG